UACAGAGGUCUCAAGCGUUGUUCGGAAUUACUGGGCGUAAAGGGCGCGUAGGCGGCCUGCUAAGUCGGAUGUGAAAUCCCUCGGCUCAACCGAGGAACUGCAUCCGAUACUGGCGGGCUUGAAUCCGGGAGAGGGAUGUGGAAUUCCAGGUGUAGCGGUGAAAUGCGUAGAUAUCUGGAGGAACACCGGUGGCGAAGGCGGCAUCCUGGACCGGUAUUGACGCUGAGGCGCGAAAGCUAGGGGAGCAAACGGG
Molecule: ribosomal RNA, 253 nt
Filed under: uncultured bacterium
Lineage: Bacteria
Description: partial 16S ribosomal RNA
Rfam family: Bacterial small subunit ribosomal RNA
Source: RNAcentral